GCAGUGGUGGUUCGGUGGUAGAAUUCUCACUUUCCAUGUGGGAGACCCGGGUUCAAUUCCCAGCCAAUGUA
This 71-nucleotide transfer RNA is filed under the name Loxodonta africana (African savanna elephant). It matches the Rfam family "tRNA". Rfam says of the family: Transfer RNA (tRNA) molecules are approximately 80 nucleotides in length. Their secondary structure includes four short double-helical elements and three loops (D, anti-codon, and T loops). Lineage: Eukaryota; Metazoa; Chordata; Mammalia; Proboscidea; Elephantidae. The record is from Rfam by way of RNAcentral.